GCCAGGCACACUGGUGCAAGCCUGCAGUCCCAGCUACUUGGAGGAGGAGGAUUGCUUGAGCCCAGGAGUUCUGGGCUGUAGUGCACUGUGCCCAUUGGGUGUCUGUACUAAGUUCAGCACCAAUAUGGUGACCUCUGGGACUACCAAGUUGCUUAACGAGGGGUGAACUGGCACAGGCUAGAAGUGGAGCAGGUCAAAACUCCUGUGCUGAUCAGCAGUGGGAUCACACCUCUGAAUAGCUACUGCACUACAGCCUGGGCAAAAUAGUGAGACCCCAU
This 278-nucleotide signal recognition particle RNA is filed under the name Aotus nancymaae (Ma's night monkey). RNAcentral describes it as "Metazoan signal recognition particle RNA (ENSANAG00000012187.1)". It matches the Rfam family "Metazoan signal recognition particle RNA". From Rfam's summary of the family: The signal recognition particle (SRP) is a universally conserved ribonucleoprotein. It is involved in the co-translational targeting of proteins to membranes. Lineage: Eukaryota; Metazoa; Chordata; Mammalia; Primates; Aotidae. The record is from Rfam by way of RNAcentral.